Molecule: long non-coding RNA, 825 nt
Filed under: Oryctolagus cuniculus (rabbit)
Lineage: Eukaryota; Metazoa; Chordata; Mammalia; Lagomorpha; Leporidae
Description: lncRNA (ENSOCUG00000034995.1)
Source: RNAcentral
AUGUAUGUUGUAACCAUGAUACGUUUCCCUUCCAAAUUCCUUUUCUCUACUAUACACUUUUCAAAAGAUUUAAGAACGGAGAGCAGGAGAACAAGAACAAGGUACUCCCCCACCCACUGGGGCAUGAGCACAUGGCCAGGGUUGUGCCGGUCAAAGAUGGAAGCCAGGGUCUGCAUCAGGAGGAAGCUGGAGUUGGGAGCCAGAGCUGGGCAGGCAACCAAGUCACUCUGCCAUGGGACACAGGCCUUAAACGCUAGGCCAAACACCAAACCACAAACCUUUUUUAAAAAAACCAAAACAACAAAACAGAUUAUUCCCCAAGUUUCCAGAAGUAUUCAUAACAAGCAACAUUCUAUUUAUAUCCAUUUUAUUUAUAUUUUCUUCCAAAAAGGAAAUGAGGCCAGCAAGCUGGCCUGGGAGAGGAGCAACCGGGACAGAAUCCGGCACCCCUAUGACAGGCAGAGGCGAUAGUGAGAGAGAGAGAGAGACAGAGAGAAAGGUCUUCCUUUGCCGUUGGUUCACCCUCCAAUGGCCGCUGCGGCCGGCGCACCUUGCUGAUCCGAUGGCAGGAGCCAGGUACUUCUCCUGGUCUCCCAUGGGGUGCAGGGCCCAAGCACUUGGGCCAUCCUCCACUGCACUCCCUGGCCACAGCAGAGAGCUGGCCUGGAAGAGGGGCAACCAGGACAAAAUCUGGCGCCCCGACCGGGACUAGAACCCGGUGUGCCGGCACCGCAAGGCGGAGGAUUAGCCUAGUGAGCCGCGGCGCCGGCCUCUCUCUUACUCUCAUAUUGUUCUUCAAAUAAAUCUUAAAAAACAGAGAAGCCA